GUGGGGAAUCUUCCGCAAUGGACGAAAGUCUGACGGAGCAACGCCGCGUGAGUGAUGAAGGUCUUCGGAUUGUAAAGCUCUGUUAAUCGGGACGAAAGAGCCUAGUGUGAAUAAUGCUAGGAAGUGACGGUACCGGAAUAGAAAGCCACGGCUAACUACGUGCCAGCAGCCGCGGUAAUACGUAGGUGGCAAGCGUUGUCCGGAAUUAUUGGGCGUAAAGCGCGCGCAGGCGGAUCUGCCAGUCUGUCUUAAAAGUUCGGGGCUUAACCCCGUGAUGGGAUGGAAACUACAGAGCUAGAGUAUCGGAGAGGAAAGUGGAAUUCCUAGUGUAGCGGUGAAAUGCGUAGAUAUUAGGAAGAACACCAGUGGCGAAGGCGACUUUCUGGACGAAAACUGACGCUGAGGCGCGAAAGCCAGGGGAGCGAACGGGAUUAGAAACCCUGGUAGUCC
This 450-nucleotide ribosomal RNA is filed under the name uncultured bacterium. RNAcentral describes it as "partial 16S ribosomal RNA". It matches the Rfam family "Bacterial small subunit ribosomal RNA", at positions 354 to 796 of the family's 1533-position model. The record is from RNAcentral.